RNAcentral lists this RNase MRP RNA (423 nucleotides) under Leucoagaricus sp. SymC.cos. RNAcentral describes it as "RNase MRP". It matches the Rfam family "RNase MRP". Rfam says of the family: RNase MRP is an enzymatically active ribonucleoprotein with two distinct roles in eukaryotes. In mitochondria it plays a direct role in the initiation of mitochondrial DNA replication. The record is from Rfam by way of RNAcentral. Lineage: Eukaryota; Fungi; Basidiomycota; Agaricomycetes; Agaricales; Agaricaceae.
GCGCUGUCCAAAGUAUCGUCGUCGCAGCUUACGCACAGGGAGUUCUUCUUGGCUCUCGAAUUUGGCUGUGGGGAAAGUCCCCGGAGAUCGCAGAGCAUAUCUUCGGUCCAUUUCUCUGGAAAGCGACUGGCUCUAGGCACGACAGUUUCCGGAUCGAAUGAUCGUUCAAGGACCCCGGUCGACCUGUGUUGAGCGUGUGCACUGUCGCAUGCUCACAUUUGGCACCCGCUUGAACACUCUGUACGCUUGCACUCGAAGGCUGAUUGACGGCGAAAGGUAUUAGGAGUGCGAAGACAUGAGCACUCUUGAUGCUCGUUGGUUUGCUGGAGAGGCGGCACUUUGUUGCUCAUAACCAAAGUUAUACGAUAGUUGACUCGCGUUUUCGCGUGUCUUCAACACAAUGGGGCUCACUCUUGGUCAGCG